AUUUCAUGGAGAGUUUGAUCCUGGCUCAGGACGAACGCUGGCGGCGUGCCUAAUACAUGCAAGUCGAGCGGACCGACGGGAGCUUGCUCCCUUAGGUCAGCGGCGGACGGGUGAGUAACACGUGGGUAACCUGCCUGUAAGACUGGGAUAACUCCGG
This 157-nucleotide ribosomal RNA is filed under the name Bacillus licheniformis. RNAcentral's name for it is "16S rRNA. Bacterial SSU". It matches the Rfam family "Bacterial small subunit ribosomal RNA", at positions 1 to 152 of the family's 1533-position model. The record is from RNAcentral. Lineage: Bacteria; Bacillati; Bacillota; Bacilli; Caryophanales; Bacillaceae.